AUUGAACGCUGGCGGCAGGCCUAACACAUGCAAGUCGAACGAGUGGCGGACGGGUGAGUAAUGUCUGGGAAACUGCCCGAUGGAGGGGGAUAACUACUGGAAACGGUAGCUAAUACCGCAUACCAUCGGAUGUGCCCAGAUGGGAUUAGCUAGUAGGUGGGGUAAUGGCUCACCUAGGCGACGAUCCCUAGCUGGUCUGAGAGGAUGACCAGCCACACUGGAGCUGAGACACGGUCCAGACUCCUACGGGAGGCAGCAGUGGGGAAUAUUGCGCAAUGGGCGCAAGCCUGAUGCAGCCAUGCCGCGUGGAUGAAGAAGGCCGUCGGAUUGUAAAGUACUGUCAGCGGGGAGGCGGUACCCGAAGAAAAAGCACCGGCUAACUCCGUGCCAGCAGCCGCGGUAAUAC
Molecule: ribosomal RNA, 406 nt
Filed under: uncultured bacterium
Lineage: Bacteria
Description: partial 16S ribosomal RNA
Rfam family: Bacterial small subunit ribosomal RNA
Source: RNAcentral